GAUGAACGCUGGCGGCGUGCCUAAUACAUGCAAGUCGAGCGAACAGAUGAGUUGCUUGCUCCUCUGACGUUAGCGGCGGACGGGUGAGUAACACGUGGAUAACCUCCCUAUAAGACUGGGAUAACUUCUGGAAACCGGAGCUAAUACCGGAUAAUAUAAUCAACCGCAUGGUUCAAUAGUGAAAGACGGUUUUGCUGUCACUUAUAGAUGGAUCCGCGCCGCAUUAGCUAGUUGGUAAGGUAACGGCUUACCAAGGCAACGAUGCAUAGCCGACCAGAGAGAGUGAUAGGACACACUGGGACUGGAACAAGGUCCAGACUCGGACGGGAGGAAGGAGUAGGGAAUCAUCCGAAAUGGGAGAAAGCAUGACGGAGCAACGCCGGAAGGGUGAUGAAGGUAAUCGGAUCGUAAAACUCUGUUAUUAGGGAAGAACAAAUGUGUAAGUAACUAAGCAAGUCUUGACGGUACCUGAUCAGAAAGCCACGGCUAACUACGUG
RNAcentral lists this ribosomal RNA (497 nucleotides) under uncultured bacterium. RNAcentral describes it as "partial 16S ribosomal RNA". It matches the Rfam family "Bacterial small subunit ribosomal RNA", at positions 28 to 507 of the family's 1533-position model. The record is from RNAcentral.